This 474-nucleotide ribosomal RNA is filed under the name Ranatra chinensis. Its description in RNAcentral is "partial 16S ribosomal RNA". It matches the Rfam family "Bacterial large subunit ribosomal RNA", at positions 1796 to 2542 of the family's 2925-position model. Lineage: Eukaryota; Metazoa; Arthropoda; Insecta; Hemiptera; Nepidae. The record is from RNAcentral.
UCGCCUGUUUAACAAAAACAUGUCCUUUUGUAAAUUUAUUUAAGGUCUAAUCUGCCCUAUGAUUAAUUAAAUGGCCGCGGUACAUUAACCGUGCAAAGGUAGCAUAAUCAUUUGUCUUUUAAUUGGAGGCUGGUAUGAACGAUUGGACGAGAAACAUUCUUUCUUUAUUAUAUUUAAUUGAAUUUUAUUUUUAAGUCAAAAAGCUUAAAUUUUUUUAUAGGACGAGAAGACCCUAUAGAAUUUUAUAUACUUAUUUUUUUAAUAAUUUGGUUUUUAUUUAUUAUAAAUCGAGAUUAUAUUUUGUUGGGGAGACAGGAAAAUUUUUUUAACUUUUUUUAUUUAAUUUCAUUGAUUUAUGUUUUUUUGAUCCAUUUUUAAUGAUUAAAAGAUUAAAUUACCUUAGGGAUAACAGCGUUAUUCUUCUGGAGAGUUCUUAUCGAUAGAAGAGUUUGCGACCUCGAUGUUGGAUUAAAA